Molecule: ribosomal RNA, 277 nt
Filed under: uncultured eukaryote
Lineage: Eukaryota
Description: partial 18S ribosomal RNA
Rfam family: Eukaryotic small subunit ribosomal RNA
Source: RNAcentral
UAGUCAUAUGCUUGUCUCAAAGAUUAAGCCAUGCAUGUCUAAGUAUAAGCUUGUUUAUACGGCGAGACUGCGGAUGGCUCAUUAAAUCAGUUAUAGUUUAUUUGAUGGUCUCUUUGUUCUUCUUUUUACCUACUUGGAUAACCGUGGUAAUUCUAGAGCUAAUACAUGCGCAAGGUCCCGAGCGCGGAGAGUAGGACUUCACGGUUCUAUUCUUGCAUGCGUAGAGGGAUGUAUUUAUUAGGUUAAACAACCAGCAUCUUUUCAUUUCUGGUGAUUC